RNAcentral lists this ribosomal RNA (508 nucleotides) under uncultured bacterium. RNAcentral's name for it is "partial 16S ribosomal RNA". It matches the Rfam family "Bacterial small subunit ribosomal RNA", at positions 28 to 523 of the family's 1533-position model. The record is from RNAcentral.
GAUGAACGCUAGCUACAGGCUUAACACAUGCAAGUCGAGGGGAAACGAUAUUGGAAGCUUGCUUCCGAUAGGCGUCGACCGGCGCACGGGGGAGUAACGCGUAUCCAACCUGCCCAUCACUUGGGGAUAACCUUGCGAAAGUAAGACUAAUACCCAAUGAUAUCUCAAGAAGACAUCUGAAUGAGAUUAAAGAUUUAUCGGUGAUGGAUGGGGAUGCGUCUGAUUGGCUUGUUGGCGGGGUAACGGCCCAACAAGGCGACGAUCAGUAGGGGUUCUGAGAGGAAGGUCCCCCACAUUGGAACUGAGACACGGUCCAAACUCCUACGGGAGGCAGCAGUGAGGAAUAUUGGUCAAUGGGCGAGAGCCUGAACCAGCCAAGUAGCGUGCAGGAUGACGGCCCUAUGGGUUGUAAACUGCUUUUAUAAGGGAAUAAAGUGAGCCUCGUGAGGCUUUUUGCAUGUACCUUAUGAAUAAGGACCGGCUAAUUCCGUGCCAGCAGCCGCCGUAA